Molecule: ribosomal RNA, 406 nt
Filed under: uncultured bacterium
Lineage: Bacteria
Description: bacterial SSU rRNA
Rfam family: Bacterial small subunit ribosomal RNA
Source: RNAcentral
UCAAGAAUAUUCCUCAAUGGCCGAAAGGCUGAAGGAGCGACACCGCGUGUAGGAUGAAGGCCUUCGGGUUGUAAACUACUUUUGUAUGGGAAGAAUUCGUGACGGUACCAUACGAAUAAGAGGUUGCUAACUCUGUGCCAGCAGCAGCGGUAAUACAGAGACCUCAAGCGUUAUCCGGAUUUAUUGGGCGUAAAGCGUCCGCAGGUGGUUUGACCAGUCAGAGGUUAAAAUUCAGCGCUUAACGCUGAAAUCGCCUUUGAUACUAUCAAACUUGAGACUGGAAGAGGUAAGCGGAAUUCUCGGUGUAGUCGUAAUAAGCGUUGAUAUCGAGAAGAACACCAAAUGCGAGGGCAGCUUACUGGUACAGUUCUGACACUCAGGGACGAAAGCGUGGGGAGCAAACAGG